RNAcentral lists this ribosomal RNA (317 nucleotides) under uncultured bacterium. RNAcentral describes it as "bacterial SSU rRNA". It matches the Rfam family "Bacterial small subunit ribosomal RNA", at positions 773 to 1083 of the family's 1533-position model. The record is from RNAcentral.
AGGGAAUAGAUACCCUGGUAGUCCACGCCGUAAACGUUGUGCGCUAGGUGUAGGAGGUAUCGACCCCUCCUGUGCCGGAGCUAAACGCAUUAAGCGCACCGCCUGGGGAGUACGCCCGCAAGGGUGAAACUCAAAGGAAUUGACGGGGGCCCGGCACAAGCGGUGGAGCAUGUGGUUUAAAUUCGAGGCAACGCGAAGAACCUUACCCAGGCUUGACAUCCCGCGCUACCCUGUGAAAGCAGGGGUUCUCCUUCGGGGGACGCGGAGACAGGUGUUGCAUGGCUGUCGUCAGCUCGUGUCGUGAGAUGUUGGGUUAA